Molecule: long non-coding RNA, 959 nt
Organism: Perognathus longimembris pacificus (Pacific pocket mouse)
Lineage: Eukaryota; Metazoa; Chordata; Mammalia; Rodentia; Heteromyidae
Exons: 2
Source: RefSeq, a predicted model, not a curated record
ACUCUAAAGCUCCUCACCUUCCCCAGGGCUGUCUGAACCUUCUGAUCCAGUUCACAUCCCAACCUGGCGAAAGCCGCUGCCCAGCUGUUACCCUGGCUUUAGAUCCUUAACUUGUGUUAGCCAGUAGGCCUUGACAGACAUUUUAGACCGAGUGGAAAGGCACUAGGAAGAGCUGUGGAAAUCUCCGGUCACAUCCCGGCACCCAGCUCCCCACAGCACCCCCCACUGACUUCUAUUUCUCCACUUUUAACCUCUUUAUAAAGUAAAUCAUUUAUCUGGUAAAAAAAAAAACUCAGAACUGACAUUUAUAUUUACUGGGGGUGUCUAAUGGUUAGGGCUAUGAUAUAUCCAAAGAAGAGUCUGUAGUUUCUUUGUCACUUAAUGUUGGAGGCAUUUUUGAAAAUGUAUUUUACUGAAAAAUGUCAACAAAGCCUAGACUUCACUCCCGAUCCCAGGAUUCUCAUUGACCACCAGGAAAGGUAAACAGGCAAACGCCAUUCCAACAUUCCUGUGGGGUUGUGCUACGGAAUGCCAGGGAGGUAGAGCGUAAGCUGGACUGUCCACACCUUCCGACCUAAUAAAUCACUGACCUCUAGAUAGCACAGCGUGAAGACUUUAUUAGGUGCCAUCUGUAAUCACCCAAUUAAACACAAAUACAGGAUGCAUAUUAAAGCCACAGUCCCUGACAUGAAAAUAGCUGCAGUGUUCACAUCUGGUUUGGCUGAGCCACGACUGUGGUCUUUAAUCUCACCACUACAGUGACUUGUGGGAAGGUGAGCAUGUCAGCUGCUGCAGAGGUAACGCAAUGUGUUCUCAGGCUAAGGACAGCUACAUGCCAGUGGAAAAGACCAGAGAGCUCCCCUUGUGAAAUGAAACCAUGGGGUCUAUCUGUCUAGUCACUCAAGAUGGCCAAACAUUCAGACUCGGGAAAGCAAAUCCCACCUUCACGCUAGACUUGG